Molecule: ribosomal RNA, 443 nt
Filed under: Meristogenys amoropalamus (mountain Borneo frog)
Lineage: Eukaryota; Metazoa; Chordata; Amphibia; Anura; Ranidae
Description: partial 12S rRNA
Rfam family: Bacterial small subunit ribosomal RNA
Source: RNAcentral
GCCUAGCCGUAAACAAUCUAUUUACACAUUAUAACGCCCGGGUAUUACGAGCAAUGCUUAAAACCCAAAGGACUUGACGGUGUCCCACCCACCUAGAGGAGCCUGUUCUAUAAUCGAUAACCCCCGCUUUACCUAACCAUUCUUUGCCUAAUCAGUCUGUAUACCUCCGUCGGAAGCUUACCAUAUGAACGCCCACAGUAAGCCCAAUGGCCACCCGCCAAUACGUCAGGUCAAGGUGCAACUUAUAGGAUGGAAAGAAAUGGGCUACAAUUUCUAAAAUAGAAUAAACGAAAGACUGCCUGAAACCCAGUCAUGAAGGAGGAUCUAGUAGUAAAAAGGGAACAGAGAGCCCUUUUUAACCCGGCACUGGGACGCGUACACACCGCCCGUCACCCUCUUUCAAUAGUUCUUUAUCUCAGUUAUUAACAAAUUAAACACGCCUU